This is a long non-coding RNA of Herpailurus yagouaroundi (jaguarundi), 804 nucleotides long. RefSeq lists it as uncharacterized. The record is from RefSeq and is a predicted model, not a curated record. The transcript has 4 exons. Lineage: Eukaryota; Metazoa; Chordata; Mammalia; Carnivora; Felidae.
UGAUCUCUUUUUCUCAUGUGUUGCCUCUAAGGGAUGAACUGGAGGUGGGACAACGCUCAGGCAUUCCUGCAAAGGACUAUCUACAAGUGACGGCUCCCCCUGGGAACCUUGUUUUUUCCUCCUGCAGUCUUGUCUUCUAUCUAAGGCACUCUUAUACCUGGUCAGAUUCUUCUGGGCUGAAUUCUGUACAAAACAGCCAAUGGCAUACAGGGUAUUAGCAACUGGUUUUCAACAUGAUCCCAUUUUGGAGCCACUAAUAAACAAGGGAGAUGGAGAUGUGAAAUGUGAUCGCGUUGUGAUGAGUGCCGAGUCAGCAUUCUAUACACUGAUGAAAAAUGAGAGUAUGUCCAGCAAGGCAAGCAGAGUUCUUUCAUGUUUUGAUAAGCUCAUGACUGUGAUACUCAACUGGAAUUUGUAGUCUUCUCUGAAGUUUUUCUGAAUUGCUACAAUCAUGGAGUGAUAUCUUCUUGGAACUGAUUGUCUGAAAGUCAGCUGGGGACACGAAGUUGGUAUGUGUUUUCAAUUCCUGGGAUAGUGAGAGGAAGUAAUGUUCUUGGGGUCAUCUCUCUUCUCAGAAAAUUGGAAAAGGUAGAGAAAUUAAAUUAUACAUUCCUUUAGAUGCAAAAAUGAAUGUCUGUCAAAAAAGAUGUCCACCUAGGGACAUGAAUCCUUUUGGUGGUUGACUGGGUUCAUGGCUGUGGUCUGAGGGCGUGAAAUGCGUUGAAACCUGCUUGUUAAUAUGAGUCCUUUGAUUUGCAUUUUUAAAAAUGUAUUUGUGUGAGACAGAGAGAUAAAGCACAAGUG